This 497-nucleotide ribosomal RNA is filed under the name uncultured bacterium. RNAcentral's name for it is "partial 16S ribosomal RNA". It matches the Rfam family "Bacterial small subunit ribosomal RNA", at positions 28 to 507 of the family's 1533-position model. The record is from RNAcentral.
GAUGAACGCUGGCGGCGUGCCUAAUACAUGCAAGUCGAGCGAACGGACGAGACGCUUGCUUUUCUGAUGUUAGCGGCGGACGGGAGUGUAACACGUGGAUAACCUACCUAUAAGACUGGGAUAACUUCGGGAAACCGGAGCUAAUACCGGAUAAUAUUUUGAACCGCAUGGUUGAAUAGUGAAAGACGGUCUUGCUGUCACUUAUAGAUGGAUCCGCGCUGCAUUAGCUAGUUGGUAGGGUAACGGCUUACCAAGGCAACGAUGCGUAGCCGACGUGAGAGGGUGGUAGGCCACAUGGGAGGUGGGCCGCGGUCCAGACGCCUACGGGAGGGAGCAGUAGGGUAUCGUACGCAAUGGGGGAAAGUCUGGCGGAGCAAGGCCGCGUGUGUUGUGGAGGCGCUCGGAUCGUGAAGCCGUGUUAUUGGGGGUGAACAGAUUUGUAAGGAGCUGAGCAGAGCGUGACGGUACCGGAUCAGGAAGCCACGGCUAACUACGUG